UCAAUGGACGAACAUGGAAAACUCAAACCUGGCAUCUAGUGUGCAUCAUAUGUGCUGAUUAAUGAAUGUUUGUGGGGGUGUAGAGAGAUUAAUUGUUUUGAUUGAGAGUUAUUGAUGUGUGAGUUGGGAGAAAAAUACAUUAAAAUUCGAAAAUUUUGAGUUGAAGUUGAGGGCCCCUGGCUUAGGGACACCUAGGGAAAGUUUGAAAGAUAGGAGAGAGUAGUCACGCACGACGCUCAGUGCCUUAUUGAGGGGGCGAUGAGCAUGACUUUCUACAGAAUUAUUUUAAGUGAAUUGGGCUCAGCAUGAGUAAGGCCCAUUGCACUCUUUUAACCCCAUAGGGUUCGCCCAAACUUUUCACUUCUGUUUUCCCAAUCUCCAGCUACACUAAACCCUCUUCUAAAGAGCUCUCUCACUUUCCUCCUUCAUUCUCAUACUAAAACAUCAUCCUUUGACCCAUUUUGCUUCACUCCAAUCACCAAGUUUGGUGUUUUUAUGUACUAGGGCUACUAGGAUUUGCACAAGUUUGUGAUUUCCCCCAAUUUUCUUGAGCAUUUUUCACAGAUCUCCAC
This 572-nucleotide long non-coding RNA is filed under the name Vigna radiata. RNAcentral's name for it is "long non-coding RNA (VRAD_LNC010345)". Lineage: Eukaryota; Viridiplantae; Streptophyta; Magnoliopsida; Fabales; Fabaceae. The record is from RNAcentral.